RNAcentral lists this long non-coding RNA (456 nucleotides) under Olea europaea (common olive). RNAcentral's name for it is "long non-coding RNA (OEUR_LNC008320)". The record is from RNAcentral. Lineage: Eukaryota; Viridiplantae; Streptophyta; Magnoliopsida; Lamiales; Oleaceae.
ACCAUUUUCAAACUUCAUACCCAGUAACCAUACACGCAUAUAAACACAGCCCCCUACAACUUCCAGCAUCUUCGUCUAUUACAUAUACACGACCAAACUCCCAGCAACCAACCACUGCAAUCCUCCACUGAAAUCAACUCUCAACAUCACCUUCUUCAAUGCCAUAUACACAACCUGUCAUAACACAAACCCAGUAACCAUACAUGCACAUACACACAAUCCACUUCAAACAGCAACUGAAAUCAACACUCAACCACAUUCUACCCGCUAUUCUACAGUUACCGUCCAGGCGUUCAGCCAUAAGCCAACUACCACAACACCCACUCACAAAAUCACAGCCCACUAUUCCGGCCACACCAGAUUCACGACCGGUAGCAGUAACAGUGACUGUCGGCAACAUCCCCAAAUCGCGACCCUUAAAUUUACCAAGACAGUAAACCAGAAAUUGAACCAAAC